AGCGAACGCUGGCGGCAGGCCUAACACAUGCAAGUCGAACGAACUCUUCGGAGUUAGUGGCGGACGGGUGAGUAACACGUGGGAACGUGCCUUUGGGUUCGGAAUACCUCGGGGAAACUGGUGCUAAUACCGAAGGGGCCCUUCGGGGGAAAGAUUUAUCGCCUUUAGAGCGGCCCGCGUCUGAUUAGCUAGUUGGUGAGGUAAAGGCUCACCAAGGCGACGAUCAGUGGCUGGUCUGAGAGGAUGAUCAGCCACAUUGGGACUGAGACACGGCCCAAACUCCUACGGGAGGCAGCAGUGGGGAAUCUUGCGCAAUGGGCGAAAGCCUGACGCAGCCAUGCCGCGUGAAUGAUGAAGGUCUUAGGAUUGUAAAAUUCUUUCACCGGGGACGAUAAUGACGGUACCCGGAGAAGAAGCCCCGGCUAACUUCGUG
This 433-nucleotide ribosomal RNA is filed under the name uncultured bacterium. RNAcentral describes it as "partial 16S ribosomal RNA". It matches the Rfam family "Bacterial small subunit ribosomal RNA", at positions 29 to 507 of the family's 1533-position model. The record is from RNAcentral.